This is a long non-coding RNA of Piliocolobus tephrosceles (Ugandan red Colobus), 1937 nucleotides long. The record is from Ensembl. Lineage: Eukaryota; Metazoa; Chordata; Mammalia; Primates; Cercopithecidae.
AGCCCCUGCUCUGGGCUGGGGACAAUGUGAUCUCUAGGCUCCCUGAUGGGACAGAAGUCCUGUGCCUUGGCACACGGGCAGUGCCCAGGCUUUGACCCCUUCCUUGGGACUCCUGUGGUACGUUCCCAUUUAACUCAAGGCUCCUUGUGAUUGGACCAAGCAGUGUGUUCAUAAGACAGAAGGACCAAAGCUUGUGACAGCAGAGAUGGGCAGUGUCAAGGGGGCCUGAGGAUAGGGAAGGUUUUGUGUGGCCUGCUACCCUGAAAAUGGGGCCAGGUGCCUGAGGGUGUUGCCAGGACAGCACUCCUGACUGGCAGGGUCUGUCCAGACCUGUGGUCCCGCCCAACUUGCCCCAUCCUCUCACACAGGUGUUCCAGAGUGAGGUGGAGAAAAUCAUCCAGUGCUUGGUGUGCGGCCACGAGGAGCGCAUCCCAUCGGGAAGCAGGAUGCUGAUCCUGCCCCUGGCUUCCCACACCCAGCUCUGUGGCUUGGAGGGGGCUGGGCAGAAACCUGGCAAGCCAGCCAAUCCGGACACCGAGAUGCUGAGUUUCUCUCUAAUCCAGAAGUUUGAUGAUGAAGACAAUCGGUUCUUCUGUGAGCCCUGUCAUGCCAAGACUCCCGCCUCGGAGGAGACACGCUUCCUGCGGCUCCCGAAGGUCCUGAUUCUGCAAGUCAGGGAGCUGACGUUUGAAAAUGGGAGGUUUCACAAAAUUCAGAAGCCUAUCAACAUUGCCCAGGUGCUGAAACUGCACACCAGCCCCAGAGAACUGACAUUGCCUAAGUGUAAAGCUUCCCACAGUGGCACAAUCACCCCCAACCCGGAGCAGAGAGUCUACCACCUCUACGCCGUGUGCUGCCACUCGGGAGACUGCAGUGGGGGCCACUACACAGCUCUGGCCCAGCCCCCCGGCCAGGCGGAGUGGUUCCGCUUCAAUGACCAGCAGGUGCACUGUGUGGGGCCGGAAUUCCCUCUGCACCACACGUUCAGGUCUGAGACCCCGUACCUACUGCUGUAUCGCUGUCAGGAAACUGGAGACAGGCAGGAGCCAGAGGCACCUGGGCCUGACAAUGGGGAUAUGAGAACCAUGACAGAUGUAGCUGUUCCAAAGGAGAAGGUGCCUUGUCCAGGAGUGGAGGGAGAGACUCUCAAGACAGACUCUGCCACAGUCUGCUGGGGAGGACACAGCCAGAGCCUCUCUCUUCUCCAGGACGACGAGCCCAUCUGCCACAGACAGAGUCCUGCCAAGAAGUGCAGGAGGGACGUGGAGCCUGGCCUUGGGAACAAGGGCAGAGCCUCAGAGCAUGUGGAUGAGGAGGGCCCUAAAGCGCCUCCACCAGGGGAGCAGGGGGAGGCCCGAGGCCUGCCCUGUGGCCCCCAGUGUAGCCCCGAAGAGGAACUCCCUGCCAUGGGAAUGAGGAGCUCGGCAGCUGAAGACCAAGCCCUGUCCCACCCUGCGCAGGGCCUAGCACAGCCCGGAAAGACACCAUCCUGCCUUGGUGAAGCAGCUGCCAUCUACGUCUCCAGCCCGAGCCUGACCUCGCUUCCUGGCCCCCACCACUGGCUCACCCCCAGCCCUAGCCACUUCCCCAGGUCUCUCCCCAGCACCCACUACCCUGCCAGCCUGGACGUUGCCUUUGGGGACCCUUGCAGCCCCCAGGGAGGAAGGCCUCCUAUCCUGAAGCUGUCUAGGGCCAGUCCCGGGCCAGACUCCCACCCAGGGAGCUCCAGCCCAGCAGAACUAGAGGCAGAACAAGGGGUGCUUGGUGGGGAGACUGGGCAGAGCAGGGUGGGGUCCCCAGGGCUCUCCCCCCACGCACUGUCCGCUGUUCACAUGAGGAUGGAGCCUACCUUCUCCAAGCAACUGCAGACAGUGGACAUGAGGACAGGAAGAUCUCUGCAGACCAGGAGAACAGUCAGGACCAGGGCUGGACCAUGA